GUGAGGAAUAUUGGACAAUGGGCGCAAGCCUGAUCCAGCCAUGCCGCGUGCAGGAAGACGCAUCUAUGGUGUGUAAACUGCUUUUGUACGGGAAGAAACACUCCCUCGUGAGGGAGCUUGACGGUACCGUAAGAAUAAGGAUCGGCUAACUCCGUGCCAGCAGCCGCGGUAAUACGGAGGAUCCAAGCGUUAUCCGGAAUCAUUGGGUUUAAAGGGUCCGUAGGCGGUUUAAUAAGUCAGUGGUGAAAGCCCAUCGCUCAACGAUGGAACUGCCAUUGAUACUGUUAGACUUGAAUUACAAGGAAGUAACUAGAAUAUGUAGUGUAGCGGUGAAAUGCUUAGAUAUUACAUGGAAUACCAAUUGCGAAGGCAGGUUACUACUUGUGGAUUGACGCUGAUGGACGAAAGCGUGGGGAGCGAACAGGAUUAGAAACCCGGGUAGUCC
RNAcentral lists this ribosomal RNA (445 nucleotides) under uncultured bacterium. RNAcentral describes it as "partial 16S ribosomal RNA". It matches the Rfam family "Bacterial small subunit ribosomal RNA", at positions 354 to 796 of the family's 1533-position model. The record is from RNAcentral.